UGGGGAUUGGCCAAGUGGUAAGGCUCUGGGUUCUGGUCCCAGGAUCGGGGGUUCGAAUCCCUCAUCCCCAGCCA
RNAcentral lists this transfer RNA (74 nucleotides) under bacterium. RNAcentral's name for it is "tRNA-Gln". It matches the Rfam family "tRNA". Rfam says of the family: Transfer RNA (tRNA) molecules are approximately 80 nucleotides in length. The record is from RNAcentral.